AGAGUUUGAUCCUGGCUCAGAUUGAACGCUGGCGGCAGGCCUAACACAUGCAAGUCGAGCGAAUGAGGGGAGCUUGCUCCCUGAUUUAGCGGCGGACGGGUGAGUAAUGCGUAGGAAGCUGCCCGAUAGAGGGGGAUACCAGUUGGAAACGACUGUUAAUACCGCAUAAUGUCUACGGACCAAAGUGUGGGACCUUCGGGCCACAUGCUAUCGGAUGCGCCUACGUGGGAUUAGCUAGUUGGUGGGGUAAUGGCUCACCAAGGCGACGAUCCCUAGCUGGUUUGAGAGGAUGAUCAGCCACACUGGAACUGAGACACGGUCCAGACUCCUACGGGAGGCAGCAGUGGGGAAUAUUGGACAAUGGGCGCAAGCCUGAUCCAGCCAUGCCGCGUGUGUGAAGAAGGCCUUCGGGUUGUAAAGCACUUUCAGUGGGGAGGAAGGGUGUUGUUUUAAUAGAGCAGCAUUUUGACGUUACCCACAGAAGAAGCACCGGCUAACUCCGUGCCAGCAGCCGCGGUAAUACGGGAGGGUGCAAGCGUUAAUCGGAAUUACUGGGCGUAAAGCGCACGCAGGGCGGCUUUUUAAGUCGGAUGUGAAAGCCCCGGGCUCAACCUGGGAAUUGCAUCUGAUACUGGGAAGCUAGAGUAUGUGANANGGGGGGUA
RNAcentral lists this ribosomal RNA (663 nucleotides) under uncultured bacterium. Its description in RNAcentral is "bacterial SSU rRNA". It matches the Rfam family "Bacterial small subunit ribosomal RNA", at positions 8 to 664 of the family's 1533-position model. The record is from RNAcentral.